GAUGAACGCUGGCGGCGUGCUUAACACAUGCAAGUCGAACGGAAAGGCUCCUGCUUGCAGGGGUACUCGAGUGGCGAACGGGUGAGUAACACGUGGGUGAUCUGCCCUGCACUUCGGGAUAAGCCUGGGAAACUGGGUCUAAUACCGGAUAGGACGAUGGUUUGGAUGCCAUUGUGGAAAGUUUUUUCGGUGUGGGAUGAGCUCGCGGCCUAUCAGCUUGUUGGUGGGGUAAUGGCCUACCAAGGCGUCGACGGGUAGCCGGCCUGGGAGGGUGUACGGCCAAAUUAGAACUGAGAUGCGGCCCGGACUCCUACGGGAGGCAGCAGUGGGGAAUAGUGCACAAUGGACGGGACCCUGAUGCAGCGACGCAGCGUGGGGGAUGACGGCAAUCGGGUUGUAUACUCCUUUCGCUAGGGACGGAGCGCAAGUGACGGUACCUGGAGAAGAAGCACCGGCUAACUACGUG
This 466-nucleotide ribosomal RNA is filed under the name uncultured bacterium. RNAcentral describes it as "partial 16S ribosomal RNA". It matches the Rfam family "Bacterial small subunit ribosomal RNA", at positions 28 to 507 of the family's 1533-position model. The record is from RNAcentral.